ACGCGUGGAACCUUACCAGGUCUUGACAUCCCAUUGACCGCUAUGGAGACCUAGCUUUCCCUUCGGGGACAGUGGUGACAGGUGGUGCAUGGUUGUCGUCAGCUCGUGUCGUGAGAUGUUGGGUUAAGUCCCGCAACGAGCGCAACCCUUGAUCUUAGUUGCCAGCAUUUAGUUGGGCACUCUAAGGUGACUGCCGGUGACAAACCGGAGGAAGGUGGGGAUGACGUCAAAUCAUCAUGCCCCUUAUGACCUGGGCUACACACGUGCUACAAUGGAUGGUACAAAGGGCAGCGAAGCCGCGAGGUGAAGCGAAUCCCAUAAAACCAUUCUCAGUUCGGAUUGUAGGCUGCAACUCGCCUACAUGAAGCCGGAAUCGCUAGUAAUCGCGGAUCAGCAUGCCGCGGUGAAUACGUUCCCGGGCCUUGCACACACCGCCCGU
Molecule: ribosomal RNA, 439 nt
Filed under: uncultured bacterium
Lineage: Bacteria
Description: bacterial SSU rRNA
Rfam family: Bacterial small subunit ribosomal RNA
Source: RNAcentral